UGAAGUGACAAAGACUCUCACUCUUUUGUUUUGUUUCCUUCCCCACUCUCACUCACUCACUCACCUUCCUUUGUUACCCUUCACUUGCACGUUCAGCACAAACCAGGAGAAAGUGACGAGGGGGUUGAUAUUGACCUUGGUUUCAUGGUCUUCAACCGGACAGUCGCUCUUGCUUCACUUUCAACUUGAAGAUUGCUUAAGAGACAUCAACAACUCUAUAACAUUCAACUUGAGGGCACGUACUCCCUAAUUCAACUGAAGGGCCACUGAAAAUUAUCGAAACGUACUACUAG
This is a long non-coding RNA of Glycine soja, 293 nucleotides long. RefSeq lists it as uncharacterized. The record is from RefSeq and is a predicted model, not a curated record. The transcript is spliced from 3 exons. Lineage: Eukaryota; Viridiplantae; Streptophyta; Magnoliopsida; Fabales; Fabaceae.